This 275-nucleotide ribosomal RNA is filed under the name uncultured bacterium. RNAcentral describes it as "partial 16S ribosomal RNA". It matches the Rfam family "Bacterial small subunit ribosomal RNA", at positions 338 to 629 of the family's 1533-position model. The record is from RNAcentral.
CCUACGGGUGGCUGCAGUGAGGGAUAUUGCGCAAUGGGGGAAACCCUGACGCAGCGACGCCGCGUGGGUGAUGAAGGCCUUCGGGUCGUAAAACCCUUUUGCCACUGACGAGGAAGGACGGUAGGUGGCGAAUAAGCCUCGGCUAACUACGUGCCAGCAGCCGCGGUAAAACGUAGGAGGCGAGCGUUAUCCGGAGUUACUGGGCGUAAAGCGCGCGCAGGCGGUCAUUUAAGUCGGGCGUGAAAGCCCCAUGCUAAACGUGGGGAGGACGAACG